GAAACAUUUUUGAAAAAAAAAUAUUUAGGCACCCUAUUAAUUUUAUUUUAUUCAUUUCUCAUUUUUAUUUAUUUAACCCUUAUGUAGAUUUUUCAAAACUGUGGUAUAUAACUUAGUUUUUUCUCUAUCGACUACUACUGUAGUACAAUUACAUCGGGAUCGAAGUCGGGCUCGAAAAGCAAUUAAUUCAAAAACAACACACCGCGCCGAAAUUCAAUUUUUUGGAGGGUUCCACGCAGCCAUGUUGAACUUGAUCAUGAUGUUGUACGGGAGGAAGGGACGAAGGAGGGUGACCCGAAAGGAGAAGCAUGAUAAGCUUUGGAUGGAAUUUCUGUUUUAACAGAAGUUGAAGACAUUUACGACCCUGUUUAGCGUUGCAGUGUGGACUGUGCCUGAGACGAUUCCCCACAGCGCCGGCUAUGUAGACAGCUUGUGAAAAUGGAAUCCAAAUGCUCACAAGAAAUGACAAAAGCAGUAUGAAGAUUAACACAAAGAAAUUGUGCCAGAAAAGUUUGAAGUAGCUAUGGGAAUGAUCAACAUUGAACUUGCUGAGCCUUCCUUCUGAAAGUGACUUGACCUGAUAUUUGGCUACCCGGUAUGAGAUAAAAUAUCGUGGAGGAACACGAAGAAAAGGGCUGCGCAUCUCAGCAUAUUCAAGGUCAAGCAGCUUUUUACCAUAUCCAUAUUAUCUUGCUGCUAAAUGAAAGAAUUAUUGUGGAGGAGCAGAGAAAAGGGCACCUCAACAUGUUCAAGGUCAAACAGAAAUUAGGAGCUAUAUGUGCUUCUCCAGAGCUGAAAACUUCUUGGGAUGAAGAGAAGAAAAAGCAAGAAGAAGCAGUUUUAAAUAUUGAUUAUGUCUUCGUAGCACAAAUGAUUCGAAAGAUGAUACUAUCUAUGAAAUUAGAAAACUGAAGUGGCGUUCUGAUGAAUUUGACGUCCUCAAAGAACAGGACAUCAAAAGUGCUAUUCUCAAA
Molecule: long non-coding RNA, 974 nt
Organism: Saccostrea cuccullata (small rock oyster)
Lineage: Eukaryota; Metazoa; Mollusca; Bivalvia; Ostreida; Ostreidae
Exons: 7
Source: RefSeq, a predicted model, not a curated record